UAAACGACUCUCGGCAACGGAUAUCUCGGCUCUCGCAUCGAUGAAGAACGUAACGAAAUGCGAUACUUGGUGUGAAUUGCAGAAUCCCGUGAACCAUCGAGUCUUUGAACGCAAGUUGCGCCCGAAGCCAUUAGGCCGAGGGCACGCCUGCCUGGGCGUCACAC
This 164-nucleotide ribosomal RNA is filed under the name Rubus fockeanus. RNAcentral describes it as "5.8S ribosomal RNA". It matches the Rfam family "5.8S ribosomal RNA". Rfam says of the family: 5.8S ribosomal RNA (5.8S rRNA) is a component of the large subunit of the eukaryotic ribosome. It is transcribed by RNA polymerase I as part of the 45S precursor that also contains 18S and 28S rRNA. Functionally, it is thought that 5.8S rRNA may be involved in ribosome translocation. Lineage: Eukaryota; Viridiplantae; Streptophyta; Magnoliopsida; Rosales; Rosaceae. The record is from RNAcentral. RNAcentral also lists the same sequence under 1 other name.